RNA transcript from Talpa occidentalis (Iberian mole), 671 nucleotides. It is a transcript of the gene named folliculogenesis specific bHLH transcription factor, with no coding region annotated. Lineage: Eukaryota; Metazoa; Chordata; Mammalia; Eulipotyphla; Talpidae. The record is from RefSeq and is a predicted model, not a curated record. The transcript is spliced from 6 exons.
AUGGACGCCGUGCCCUUCUUCCUGCGCGCCCCUCAGGCCGAGGUGCUGGAGGACGUGCUGCGGGAGCAGUUCGGGCCGCUACCCCAGCUGGCCGCCAUCUGCCGGCUGCGGCGCCUGUCCUCGGGCGGCUACUCGUCCACCCAGGACCUGCAGCUGGUGCUGGAGCGCCGGCGCGUCGCCAACGCCAAGGAGCGCGAGCGGAUAAAAAAUCUCAACCGUGGUUUUGCCAAACUGAAGGCACUUGUACCAUUUCUUCCCCAAAGUAGGAAGCCUAGCAAAGUUGAUAUACUAAAAGGUGCAACUGAGUACAUACAAAUUCUCAGUGAUGUUUUGGGAGGAACCAAUGAUUCUGAGAAACAAGAUCCAGAUCACCAGAGCUAUAGCAGCAACACUUCUGAACCACAUAUAUCCCUGGCUAGAGAGCUACUGAGAAACAUCAGCCAACAUGCCCCCUGCGCUGUGGGCUUGAAGAAUGAGGAGGAAGGGCCCUGGACAGCAGGUGGCAGUGCAUAAUCCUCUCCAGUUCCAUCCAUGUUGCCACAGAUGGAUAGAUUUCCAGAAGUAGAAUUGCUGAAUCAUAGGUAGUCUCAGCCUCCCCAAGUAUGAAAAGUGAGAAGGCCAGCCCAGGGAUACUUUCUAGAGACAAAUAAAUGCAGUCUUAAAAAUUUUGA